Molecule: long non-coding RNA, 1090 nt
Filed under: Betta splendens (Siamese fighting fish)
Lineage: Eukaryota; Metazoa; Chordata; Actinopteri; Anabantiformes; Osphronemidae
Description: lncRNA (ENSBSLG00000008121.1)
Source: RNAcentral
UGGAUCCGGAUGCGUAACGAGCUCAGAGGCAGAACUUGGUUCAGUCAUCAAACAAAGUUCGAUGUGAUGACUGAACUUCAACCCACCGUUUGUGUCUCUGCACGUUCAUCCAGUCCAGAAGGAGGCAAAUGGAGCGACCCCAUCCUCUUCCUCAUCCUCAUCCUCUUUCUCUUCCUUUUCCUCUUCCUCUUCCUCAUCCUCAUCCUCUUCCUCAUCCCCAUCCUCAUCCGCGGGCGUCGGCCGCGGCCCCUCUUCUCUUCAUCCUCUUCCUCAUCCCCAUCCUCAUCCUCUUCCUCUUCCUCAUCCUCUUCCUCAUCCCCAUCCUCUUCCUCUUCCUCAUCCUCAUCCUCAUCCCCAUUCUCAUCCUCUUCCUCUUCCUCAUACUCAUCCCCAUCCUCAUCCUCUUCCUCAUCCUCAUCCUCAUCCUCAUCCCCAUCCUCUUCCUCUUCCUCUUCCUCAUCCCCAUCCCCAUCCUCAUCCUCAUCCUCAUCCUCUUCCUCAUCCUCUUCCUCAUCCUCAUCCCCAUCCUCAUCCUCUUCCUCUCCCUCAUCCCCAUCCUCAUCCUCUUCCUCAUCCCCAUCCUCAUCCUCUUUCUCUUCCUCUUCCUCUUCCUCAUCCUCUUCCUCAUCCCCAUCCUCAUCCUCUUCCUCUUCCUCAUCCUCUACCUCAUCCCCAUCCUCAUCCUCAUCCUCAUCCUCUUUCUCUUCCUCUUCCUCUUCCUCUUCCUCAUCCCCAUUCUCAUCCUCUUCCUCUUCCUCAUCCUAAUCCCCAUCCUCAUCCUCUUCCUCUUCCUCAUCCUCAUCCUCAUCCCCAUCCCCAUCCUCAUCCUCAUCCUCAUCCUCUUCCUCUUCCUCUUCCUCUUCCUCUUCCUCAUCCCCAUCCUCAUCCUCUUCCUCUUCCUCUUCCCCAUCCUCAUCCUCUUCCUCUUCCUCUGCCCCAUCCUCAUCCUCUUCCUCUUCCCCAUCCUCUUCCUCUUCCUCAUCCCCAUCCUCACCCACGUCCACUGAUGCUGAUGCGUGGCCGCCUGCGUGACGGGUUUCUCUGAACUCAGAGCUGCAUCAUUACGUUCAAUUAGGCGGCGCCGUGCUCA